Long non-coding RNA from Electrophorus electricus (electric eel), 3131 nucleotides. RefSeq lists it as uncharacterized. NCBI's taxonomy places the organism in Eukaryota, Metazoa, Chordata, Actinopteri, Gymnotiformes, Gymnotidae. The record is from RefSeq and is a predicted model, not a curated record.
UGCACUCUCCGGCUUGUUCUGUCCCUCUACCCCCCCCCCCCUCUCUCUCUCAUAUUCCGACCGUUCCUGAGGUGUGACAGCAGUCGGGAGGAGGGAGAAGGAUUCAUCAGGAUACGGUGGAGGGGUUUGGUCCCUUGCAACGCUCAAACUUCCCAACACCCAGGCUCACUCCAGGAAUCGGGCACGGCACCGACGUAGCUGUGGGAUCUGAAAUAGCCAGUUCAUGUUCAUGCUUUAAAGCAAGCACUGCCGUUUAUGAACUGUACUUCAAGGUAGCAGCACAUUUAAGCAUGGGCCACGGCAGCAUCCGGGGAGCAUCUGAUCAGCAGCUGCCGUGCUCCGGAAGCCAGCAAGCGGAGGGUGAGAGGCUGGCCGUGGUGGGGAGGGUUCCUGGCACCGUGAUUUGGUGGACAAACAGAACUAAAAAUCACAUUGCCAGGGAUUUCCACCCCUGCAUGGCUCUCGAGGUGCUCAGGACCUGCACCACUGCCACAGGCGUACGCAGAAGGCCGAAAUAGAAAGCAGUGGAAGAUGGCGGCGGCACACGGUGCGCGACGCGUGACUUCGAGGUCAAAUGCUCGGGAUGCGAGAGAUGCCGUCGAUGUCGGUGUUGCGGCACAGCGCGCCGGCACUGCCUUUGAUGCUCUGCAGGUUUUUGCGUGUUAGAAUGCUGCACUGAAUUAAAUGGAGUGCUCUGUCUGUGCUUGCGCAACCUCUCAGGCGUCCAGUUCAUCUGAGUGCAGCCCUUCGGCGUGUUUUUCAUGCUCAAUAACACAAACAGAGAAUCACGUCUUUGGAAAUAUCACAUAUCCUCUGGAAUGAAUAGAUAAUGACUUACUGGAAUGGCAGCGGAGUGAAAGGGCGUCUGGCUCUUCUCUCAGACUCAGAAAAAGGAAACUUUGUAGGUCCCCUGCACUCUUGCGCUGCUUGUAGUGGGUUUUUAUUAGUAUGCUGACUAUGCAAACCACAUGUCACGCAGAGCAAUGAUUCAUAAGACGACAAUGUUGACAAGCCAUCGCUGUCGCCCAUGUUGCACUCGCGUGCUACAGACUGCCUGAUGAGAGUGUUUUCCCACAUUGAGCUUUGUUGCCUCACCAGAUCAAACAGAUCAUCGUUACUUGCUCAAGGUGCAGAGCUUAGCUAAUUGGUGAGCAUUGAUCCCGUAAAUAUACUGUUCACAGUGGCUAAGUUCAGCGUCUGCAGCGAGACAACUGACGGGAUGUUGAAAAGCUUUGUUGGACAUCCACUCUACUGCUCUAGCAGAGCCUAAAACUGGGAUAAUGAGAGGGCGCUCUAGAGGACCGCGAGGUUCUGCCAGGUCGGCUCAGAGGUGUCUGAAGGGAUGUCAGAGUGCAGUAAGUUACCCAUAAAGAAGGACCGUAAAGGUCAGACCAGUUGUGGCAUGCCAGUUUCUUGUUGGCUCUCGCUAAAAAGCAGUUUUGGCACCUACCAAUAGCAUUGGCUUACGUGGCACCUCCGCCUGCCCGUAGACCUGAAGUGGGCACCAGGUCAAAGCUCCAUUAGCAAAGAUGGGCAAAGCCAAAAUGGAAAGCUCACAUUUCGUGCUUUGUUCCUCCAAAACACAUCAUUAGGCACUGAGUAUUUAUGUAUGGCUAUAUUAAUUCCUACUCACUGGUUCUCACUGAUGUAGACAUUAUAGGCUCUAGACAUUACCAGACAGAAUGAACUGCUUGCUUCCCACAUCUAAAUCACACUCUUCCCGCCCAGUUCCACGAUGAGUCAGAUCUUGUCAUAACAGCAGCAUUCCUGACAAUGGGGGUCCAACAUCAGAGUAGCCAAUGACGGACAACGUUCGAGAAGAACAGCAACAAGCAAUAAUAACUCAAAAGCCUGAAGGUUGAGGCCUCCGGUGCCUGCUGAGCUGGUAUCAGUGUGUCCACAGAGAGCUGGCUCAGCUCAGCAGGAACAGAAGUCCCAGCCAACGUACAGCGCCUCCUGCAUCCACCGCGCUGCGCAUAGCAACGCCGUGAUGAAAUGUGAAUCGUUCAGCCGUUGGGAAGAGGGGUUAGGGUGUACUGGAGCUGCGGCAUAGUGAUGAACACACUAUCUGUUCAAACAGAUUUCAUACCACAAGUAAGGCCACAGAUGUGGAUGCAGUUAAUCCAAGACCAGGUUUUUAGACUGCUUGUUGUUGUUUUUUGCAUUUGUGUGUGUGUGUGUGUGUUUUGCAAAAAGUCUGAUGGCAGAUUUCUACCUGUUUCUACCUGCUAAUCCAAUUUCCUUUACCUAAGAAGGCAGGCAACGCCUGCAGUGUCGCGACGUGGUCUUAUGCAUUAAACUGAGUCAGGAUGAAUUAUGGCAAGUCCCUUUUUUUAGGCCAUAUUGUCAUCUCCAUUUAACCGGAGUGAAUAAUGGUAGUCAUAGAUCUCCUCCCCUCAGCCCGUUUGCACUAGUCUAACUUUAGCUUCCAUUCUUCAUUUCUGGAGGACACCCUUCCUUUAGAAAGCACAGAAAGUUUACAACUAGGUGCGGAAGAAAGCCCAGAAGGUCUCGCCUCACCCGAAUCAGAUUUCGCUGUGAAAACUCCAUCAUUUAGGUUUCCAUGUGAUAAUGAUGUCCUCAUUAAGGCUGCUUAAACCUCACAUGACAUGCUUUGAUGGUGUAGGGUGUCGUAUUAUUUAAAGAUCUCUGAGAGCUCCCACAGCGUCUUGCCGUUUUAGCCCCAGUCUCCUCAGAACAAAUGAGUUCUUUUGUAUGAGAGACUUCGUUCGUUCGUUCGUUCAUUCAUUCAUUCAUUCAUUCAGUGCUUCGCGUGACACCUAAAUACCACAUCGCCGUAAGAACAUUAGCAUCUCUUACUAUUUAAAAAUUCUUUAUUGAAGUUCCACAAUAUAGACAACUACACGAAUCAUGUUCAAUGCACAGAAACACUACAGUUGUUAAACGAGUGUGUGAGUGGAGGCCGCUGUAUUGAGGACCUUGGGCAAACAGAGGCCAUGGCAGUUUCUUAUGUCAGUGACCUGCUACGCAGAAGAAUGCCCGUAUAUGUUUCUUUAAGGUAAGAUUAUCCUCGUUCUUUUUACUCGCCAUUCUCUCUCUCUCUCUCUCUCUCUCUCUCUCUCUCUCUCUCUCGUACAGACAGCCUUUCAAUAAAGAUCUUUUUCACUCAA